UUCUGCAUGUAAUAUUUCUUUUCUUUCUCAUACACAGGAAGCUUUCAGACAAAAAUUCAAAGUUGAGGUGAUUUAAGUAUCUUACUGCUAUUUGGCUUCAUGUCAGUGGAUAUCGUACAGUUCAAGUCAUUCCUGUGAGUGAAGAAAGCUUCCCCGUUCCUUACCUGGAAAAAUUUUGCUCAAGUAUUUCAAGUCUAUUAUUUCUGUCUCUCAGCAUGAACAAUUUGAAGCAUUAACUUGUUUAGUUUAUUGAUGUCUUUCAGUUGAGAUGUAUCAAUGUAAAAGGCAGGUCAACAUGAAAUGUACAAUUUGUUAUGUAACACUGCUGAAGCGUUAUUUUGUCUGUUAUUAUCCCUUUACAUUCCACAAUAAAGAAAAUUUAGCAUAG
Molecule: long non-coding RNA, 388 nt
Organism: Daphnia pulex (common water flea)
Lineage: Eukaryota; Metazoa; Arthropoda; Branchiopoda; Diplostraca; Daphniidae
Exons: 2
Source: RefSeq, a predicted model, not a curated record